Molecule: ribosomal RNA, 330 nt
Filed under: uncultured bacterium
Lineage: Bacteria
Description: bacterial SSU rRNA
Rfam family: Bacterial small subunit ribosomal RNA
Source: RNAcentral
UCCGUAGGCGGUGUGGCAAGUCGGAAGUGAAAUCUCUGGGCUUAACUCAGAGGCUGCUUCCGAAACUGCCGUGCUAGAGUGCGAGAGAGGCAAGUGGAAUUGCGGGUGUAGCGGUGAAAUGCGUAGAUAUCCGCAGGAACAUCCGAGGCGAAAGCGGCUUGCUGGAUCGCAACUGACGCUGAGGGACGAAAGCUAGGGGAGCAAACAGGAUUAGAUACCCUGGUAGUCCUAGCCCUAAACCAUCAGGACUUGGGGUUUGCCCUGUACGGGGCAAGUCCCGUAGCUAACGCGUUAAGUCCUGCGCCUGGGGAGUACGGUCGCAGGGCUGAA